This 253-nucleotide ribosomal RNA is filed under the name uncultured bacterium. RNAcentral's name for it is "partial 16S ribosomal RNA". It matches the Rfam family "Bacterial small subunit ribosomal RNA", at positions 524 to 776 of the family's 1533-position model. The record is from RNAcentral.
UACGGAGGGUGCAAGCGUUAUUCGGAAUCACUGGGCGUAAAGAGCGCGUAGGCGGUUUCUUAAGUCAGAUGUGAAAGCCCGGGGCUUAACCCCGGAAGUGCAUUUGAAACUAAGGGACUUGAGUAUGGGAGAGGGAAGUGGAAUUCCUGGUGUAGCGGUGAAAUGCGUAGAUAUCAGGAGGAACACCGGUGGCGAUGGCGACUUCCUGGACCAAUACUGACGCUGAGGCGCGAAGGCGUGGGGAGCAAACAGG